RNAcentral lists this ribosomal RNA (292 nucleotides) under uncultured bacterium. Its description in RNAcentral is "partial 16S ribosomal RNA". It matches the Rfam family "Bacterial small subunit ribosomal RNA", at positions 505 to 796 of the family's 1533-position model. The record is from RNAcentral.
GUGUCAGCCGCCGCGGUAAUACGAAGGGGGCUAGCGUUGUUCGGAAUCACUGGGCGUAAAGCGCAUGCAGGCGGAUCGAUAAGUCGGGGGUGAAAGCCCGAGGCUCAACCUCGGAACUGCCUUCGAUACUGUCGAUCUUGAGUCCGGGAGAGGUGAGUGGAACUCCGAGUGUAGAGGUGAAAUUCGUAGAUAUUCGGAAGAACACCAGUGGCGAAGGCGGCUCACUGGCCCGGUACUGACGCUGAGAUGCGAAAGCGUGGGGAGCAAACAGGAUUAGAAACCCUCGUAGUCC